AAAUCUCCCGCCGCGCCCCGCGCCCGUCCCGCCGCCCCCCGCCCGCCUACGGGAGGCAGCAGUGGGGAAUAUUGCACAAUGGGCGCUAGCCUGAUGCAGCGACGCCGCGUGGAGGAUGACGGCCUUGGGGUUGUAAACUCCUUUGGACAGGGACCAAGCGUGAGAGACGGUACGUGUAGAAGAAGCACCGGCGAACUACGUGCCAGCAGCCGGGGUAAAACGUAG
Molecule: ribosomal RNA, 225 nt
Filed under: uncultured Nocardia sp.
Lineage: Bacteria; Bacillati; Actinomycetota; Actinomycetes; Mycobacteriales; Nocardiaceae
Description: partial 16S ribosomal RNA
Rfam family: Bacterial small subunit ribosomal RNA
Source: RNAcentral